This 299-nucleotide long non-coding RNA is filed under the name Hordeum vulgare. RNAcentral describes it as "long non-coding RNA (HVUL_LNC015568)". Lineage: Eukaryota; Viridiplantae; Streptophyta; Magnoliopsida; Poales; Poaceae. The record is from RNAcentral.
GGCAACGAAGAAUCUGCCCGACUUCAAGAAGGAUGACCAGAAGGUCAUUGACACUGAGUUAAUCAAGGCUAUAGAUGCUGUCCCAGACCUUAAAAGUUAUCUUGGUGCCCGGUUCUCCCUCAGGGAUGGCGACAAGCCGCAUGAGAUGACCUUCUAAGUUAUCUGGUACAAGUUUCAAGAUCUGUGGAAAGUCUUUUUUCUCUAGCGUAUGUUCUGGUUCUGUACUUCUGAUUUUUUUGGCUGGUUGGUGAACCUUUGAUUUCUACCUGUUAAAUAUUUUGAGAAGAUUAUUGGAAGUA